This 73-nucleotide transfer RNA is filed under the name Bos taurus (domestic cattle). It matches the Rfam family "tRNA". From Rfam's summary of the family: Transfer RNA (tRNA) molecules are approximately 80 nucleotides in length. Their secondary structure includes four short double-helical elements and three loops (D, anti-codon, and T loops). Lineage: Eukaryota; Metazoa; Chordata; Mammalia; Artiodactyla; Bovidae. The record is from Rfam by way of RNAcentral. RNAcentral also lists the same sequence under 3 other names.
UCCCUGGUGGUUCAGUGGUUAGGACUCCAUGCUCGCAGUGCCGAGGGCCCAGGUUCAACCCCUGGUUGGGGAA